RNAcentral lists this long non-coding RNA (290 nucleotides) under Mytilus galloprovincialis (Mediterranean mussel). Lineage: Eukaryota; Metazoa; Mollusca; Bivalvia; Mytilida; Mytilidae. The record is from RNAcentral.
AAAAUAGUUAAAGCAAGUAAAUCUGUCGUUGCACCUCAGCUGACCAGUCUUAUAAAUUUGACUGUGGACACGGGCAUAUUUCCAGACAAACUUAAAGAAGCCCAAGUUACACCCUUACAUAAAAAGAGCGACCCACUACUGAAAUCAAAUUACAGACCAGUCAGUGUGUUACCUAUUUUUUCAAAAUUUUACGAAAAGAUAUUUGAAAUACAGUUAUACGAUUUCUUUGAUUCCAUUUUUAAUCCUUAUCUAUGUGCUUUCCGUAGAGGACAUGGAUGUCAGACUACGUU